Molecule: long non-coding RNA, 434 nt
Organism: Pantherophis guttatus
Lineage: Eukaryota; Metazoa; Chordata; Lepidosauria; Squamata; Colubridae
Source: RefSeq, a predicted model, not a curated record
CUGGAACUUUUGAUAUUAUGAACCAAUUUGAUUAUAUUUCUAACUUAUAUACUGCAUUUCUUUUUUAUUUGGGAAAAAGGAUAUCAAGCAUCUUUCCAGGUUUUAAGACUGGAAUUUCAGUUAUAGUAUUCACCAAAGAGUAUUGAUAUCCAAGUUAGGAUUCCUUCGGUUACCAGGCUGAGGCUAGACUUGCACUGACUCCAUUCUAGGAAAGGGGAGAAAGGAAGCAAAAAGAAAAGAUGGCACUUCAUAGAACCUCCCAGUUGUAAGUCACCAGUCAACUGAAUUUGUGAUCUUGAACAAAGGAUAAACAUGGAAAGCAAAGUACUAUGAAUGGUACCUAUCACAUCUGGUAAAGUGCAGUCAAACAUAUUUGUGCAAUGAUUCCUUCCUUUGUAAUGGUUAACAAUGGGUGAUAAAGAUAUUGUUCUGUU